AGAGUUUGAUCCUGGCUCAGGACGAACGCUGGCGGCGUGCCUAACACAUGCAAGUCGCACGGGCCCGCAAGGGUCAGUGGCGCACGGGUGCGUAACACGUGAGGAACAUAGCCAUCGGCGGGGGAUAGCCGGCCCAACGGCCGGGUAAUACCGCGUACGACCUUCGGGUGGCAUCACCUGGGGGUGAAAGCAGCAAUGCGCCGAUGGGGUGCCUCGCGGCCUAUCAGCUAGUUGGUGAGGUCACGGCUCACCAAGGCUACGACGGGUAGCUGGUCCGAGAGGAUGACCAGCCACAUUGGGACUGAGACACGGCCCAGACUCCUACGGGAGGCAGCAGUGGGGAAUAUUGCGCAAUGGGCGAAAGCCUGACGCAGCGACGCCGCGUGUGGGAUGAAGGUCUUCGGAUUGUAAACCACUGUCGCGAGGGACGAAAAUCUGACGGUACCUCGAAAGGAAGCACCGGCUAACUCUGUGCCAGCAGCCGCGGUAAUACAGAGGGUGCGAGCGUUGUCCGGAAUCACUGGGCGUAAAGGGCGCGUAGGCGGCUUGGUAAGUAGGGGGUGAAAUCUCAUGGCUCAACUGUGAGGCUGCCUUCUAGACUGCUGAGCUGGAGCACAGUAGAGGCGAGUGGAAUUCCCGGUGUAGCGGUGGAAUGCGUAGAGAUCGGGAAGAACAUCG
Molecule: ribosomal RNA, 678 nt
Filed under: uncultured bacterium
Lineage: Bacteria
Description: bacterial SSU rRNA
Rfam family: Bacterial small subunit ribosomal RNA
Source: RNAcentral